Molecule: ribosomal RNA, 496 nt
Filed under: uncultured bacterium
Lineage: Bacteria
Description: partial 16S ribosomal RNA
Rfam family: Bacterial small subunit ribosomal RNA
Source: RNAcentral
AUGAACGCUGGCCACGUGCCUAAUACUUGCAAGUCGAGCGAACAGACGAGGAGCUUGCUCCUCUGACGUUAGCGGCGGACGGGUGAGUAACACGUGGAUAACCUACCUAUAAGUCUGGGAUAACUUCGGGAAACCGGACCUAAUACCGGAUAAUAUAUUGAACCGCAUGGUUCAAUAGUGAAAGAUGGUUUUGCUGUCACUCAUAGAUGGAUCCGCGCCGCAUUAGCUAGUUGGUGAGGUAACGGCUUACCAAGGCAACGAUGCGUAGACGACCUGAGAGGGUGAUCGGCCACACUAGAACUGAGACACGGUCCAGACUCCUACGGGACGCAGCAGUAGGGAAUCUUCCGCAAUGGGCGAAAGCUUGACGGAGCAACGCCACGUGAGUGAUGGAAGUCUUCGGAUCGUAAGACUCUGUUAUUAGGGAAGAACAAAUGUGUAAGUAACUAUGCACGUCUUGACGGUACCUAAUCAGAAAGCCACGGCUAACUACGUG